This 414-nucleotide ribosomal RNA is filed under the name uncultured bacterium. RNAcentral's name for it is "partial 16S ribosomal RNA". It matches the Rfam family "Bacterial small subunit ribosomal RNA", at positions 354 to 758 of the family's 1533-position model. The record is from RNAcentral.
UGGGGGAAUUUUGGACAAUGGGCGAAAGCCUGAUCCAGCAAUGCCGCGUGUGUGAAGAAGGCCUUCGGGUUGUAAAGCACUUUUGUCCGGAAAGAAAUCCUUGGCUCUAAUACAGUCGGGGGAUGACGGUACCGGAAGAAUAAGCACCGGCUAACUACGUGCCAGCAGCCGCGGUAAUACGUAGGGUGCAAGCGUUAAUCGGAAUUACUGGGCGUAAAGCGUGCGCAGGCGGUUUGCUAAGACCGAUGUGAAAUCCCCGGGCUCAACCUGGGAACUGCAUUGGUGACUGGCAGGCUAGAGUAUGGCAGAGGGGGGUAGAAUUCCACGUGUAGCAGUGAAAUGCGUAGAGAUGUGGAGGAAUACCGAUGGCGAAGGCAGCCCCCUGGGGCCAAAUACUGACGCUCAUGCACGAAA